Molecule: ribosomal RNA, 324 nt
Filed under: uncultured eukaryote
Lineage: Eukaryota
Description: partial 18S ribosomal RNA
Rfam family: Eukaryotic small subunit ribosomal RNA
Source: RNAcentral
CCCUUAGAUGUUCUGGGCCGCACGCGCGCUACACUGAUGCAUUCAACGAGUUUCUUCCUGGUCCGAGAGGAAUGGGUAACCUUUUGAAAGUGCAUCGUGAUAGGGAUAGACUAUUGCAAUUAUUGAUCUUCAACGAGGAAUUCCUAGUAGACGUAGUUCAUCAGACUGCAUCGAUUACGUCCCUGCCCUUUGUACACACCGCCCGUCGCUCCUACCGAUUGAAUGCUCAGGUGAGCCAUUCGGACUUUCAUCAUGCUGGUUUCCAGUUUUGAUGAAGGAAAGUCUUGCGAACCUUAUCAUUUAGAGGAAGGAGAAGGCGUAACA